UAAUCCCCAAUUCCUUUCCUCCCUGUUUACUCACCCGUCGCCGCCAUCUACUCUACUCUCCGCUGGUCUCAGCAUUCGCCGUUGCCCUUCAGCCGAGCCGUCGCCAUUGCCGUCCAAUCCAUCUUCCAGCGUCGUUUGUAGGCCCUCCCUCCCCGUCUCCUCUUCUCUCUUCUCUCGUCGAGUGGUUGUCAGCGGUGUGGUGCUCUAUCCCCCCCUGCAUCCUCCACUUCCAGAGUAACAAUGGAGCCUCAGACUCAGGGAUUGUAGGCUAUAUUUGUUCUGUUUUGUGCUACAAGUAUGUUGGUGUAGCUAAGAUUCAUGCCAAUUUAGUAAUCAUAUGUAGCAAUUGUAAUUCUCUAUUAUUAUUCUAUUGGUAUCUAACAUAGUGAGGCAUGAGGCUUCAUGGAUUUUACAAACAAUGGUAUGGGAAUGGAUGUGGAUGCGUAAGAAGUAAAUUUCUCGGUUCUUACUUUUAAGUGAUGUAACAAACUCUGAUGUUCUGAUUUUUAGUUAACCUGUUCUUAUAUUCUGUCUUUGAGUAACCAA
Molecule: non-coding RNA, 546 nt
Organism: Arachis ipaensis
Lineage: Eukaryota; Viridiplantae; Streptophyta; Magnoliopsida; Fabales; Fabaceae
Source: RefSeq, a predicted model, not a curated record